GUGAGUGAUAGGCUUUCCCUUCGAUUAUGAGUAAUGGUGAUCAACACCUGAAGUUGAGGGGAAUCCUUUGCCCCUUGCUACUUGUCACCAUCGCUCAUCGCCAAAGAGAAAAACUGACACUCACUUUCCCUACUCAUGUCAUGGCUGUUGCUGGGUUCCAAUCAUUGGUCGAAAGGAUGGGUGGGAAUAGGUAGUGGAAACCUCAACGAAGGAAG
This 215-nucleotide long non-coding RNA is filed under the name Elaeis guineensis (African oil palm). Its description in RNAcentral is "long non-coding RNA (EGUI_LNC011678)". Lineage: Eukaryota; Viridiplantae; Streptophyta; Magnoliopsida; Arecales; Arecaceae. The record is from RNAcentral.